RNAcentral lists this ribosomal RNA (502 nucleotides) under uncultured bacterium. Its description in RNAcentral is "bacterial SSU rRNA". It matches the Rfam family "Bacterial small subunit ribosomal RNA", at positions 9 to 526 of the family's 1533-position model. The record is from RNAcentral.
GAGUUUGAUCCUGGCUCAGGACGAACGCUGGCGGCGUGCUUAACACAUGCAAGUCGAGCGAUGAAGCUUCCUUCGGGAAGUGGAUUAGCGGCGGACGGGUGAGUAACACGUGGGCAACCUGCCUCAAAGAGGGGAAUAGCCCUCCGAAAGGAGGAUUAAUACCGCAUAAAGUUAGAGUUUCGCAUGAAACUUUAACCAAAGGAGUAAUCCGCUUUGAGAUGGGCCCGCGUCCCAUUAGCUAGUUGGUAGGGUAAUGGCUUACCAAGGCAACGAUGGGUAGCCGACCUGAGAGGGUGAUCGGCCACAUUGGAACUGAGACACGGUCCAGACUCCUCCGGGAGGCAGCAGUGGGGAAUAUUGCGCAAUGGGGGAAACCCUGACGCAGCAACGCCGCGUGGGUGAUGAAGGUUUUCGGAUCGUAAAACCCUGUUUUCUGGGACGAUAAUGACGGUACCAGAUGAGGAAGCCACGGCUAACUACGUGCCAGCAGCCGCGGUAAUAC